UGCUCUCGGCCAACUUCCUGAUGCUGACGCCGACAGGUGAGCCCCGGUCGUCGAGUGCCUUGUGCGCUCGCAUUUCCCAGGCCCCGAUGACAGCUGGGUCUCCUCCACUCCACCGGUCUUCGCCCAAGCCCGCCGCGUGCUUCGCGUGGAAAUCGACGCAAUUCGUUGAAGGGGGGCUACCCGGGAUAUAGACCCGACCCUGGUCAUAUUUUUCCCUUGAUUGCCCGAGCCGGAAACCAUGGGAGCCACCAUCACUGAGAACACCAUGCCGUGAGAAGAGAGAGCAGGCAAGGGAGGGAGUUCGGCCGCCGCCUCGAUUCUCCAUCCUCACCGCUGAUCGGCAUUCAGAAUCUAGGGCAAAAGGAGCUGGGAGGAAGGUGGAGUGCGCUCGUGUGGGCUACACGCGAAGGGAGCCUGUGAUCGAGUCUGGAUUCCUCAUUGUCGAUGAACGCCGCGGCGCGCUGCAGAGCGACCUUCUCCUGGUCGUGGAAUCAGACGAGCAAGCACCCGAGGAUCUCGGUACUCAACAGGUAGAAAAUACUGAAUAGGAGCUCGUUGAAGGCAAGUUGUGCCCUUGAUCACUUUUCUUUACUCAAUAAUGUUCCUGUUAAUCAUUAUGAUCUGCAUCAGUUAAUUUUGAUCGGACCCAAUAGGGCACCCUAGUUUGGUCAUCUUUAUAACUUGCUUACCGCUGAACUUUUGGGUAGUAUAUGCUAUUGCUUUAUGUGGUUUUGGGUAUUAAAAUACACAUGCAUGCUUGUUAUUGACAAUGAGUUAAUUACUAUUUAUGACAAGAUCAUUAUGCUAAUUGGAAUAUGGAGACCCAUCCAGAAAAAUAGUGCUACCAAAAGGGUGGUAUGGGAUGCCCUUAGCUAACUAAUUAGGAAAGCUAGUGGAGGACUACCUUACCCGUAAGAGGCAAGGGCAGUAGGGGAGUUGUCGAUGUAGGGAGGUUCUCGGGUUGAUCUUGCUGAGAUGGCUUUUCAGACGGGGGAUUCCUAUACCGCUCUCCUCAGAAAUCGUAGCGGGUUUUCUGAAGCUAGUGGAACUUUGUAAAGGCCUUGUAGUGCUACCCUGCCUCGCCUCCUCGGUAGAGGUGUAUGGGGUCCAUACAACCCCAUGACAUAUGGGUAACACGACUUGUGGGUGAAGUUGUGCAACCUCUGCAGAGUGUAAAACUGGUAUAUCAGCCAUGCUCAUGGUUAUGAGUGACUCGAACCCUCACAUGAGUAACUUAUGGAAUUAAACUUAAUUGGUCAUUUGCAUCGCAUUGUGGUUUUAUUAUUAAUUAUGAUCUCUCAUUUUAUUUGGGUUGGUAUUUACUUAUACUUAGUAACUGCUAAUAAAAUUUUACCAACUUUUUAAAAGCAAUGCUUUGCCUUAACCAUUAUUUGUUGAUCAGCCUAACACUAUACAUGAGCCCCCACUUUUGUGAGCUCAUGCACAUUAUUCUUCACACUUGUUGAGCGAUAAACUUUUGUGAGCUCACUUUUGCGAUAAAACCCUCCCCCCACAUGUGAAGAACAUGUAGCCCAGGAGGAGGACUACUACGAGGAGUUUAACAAGGUCUGGCGUCAAGGAAAUAAUAUUAGUUCGCUUUAUUUAUUAUCUGUAUUUUGUAAGACAUUCUCGUUAUGUAAUAAUAUUUGUGACAUUUAUCUC
Long non-coding RNA from Zea mays, 1662 nucleotides. RefSeq lists it as uncharacterized. The record is from RefSeq and is a predicted model, not a curated record. NCBI's taxonomy places the organism in Eukaryota, Viridiplantae, Streptophyta, Magnoliopsida, Poales, Poaceae. The transcript is spliced from 2 exons.